GCGGGGGUCCCAUAGCGGUCGAUUGGACAAGCUUGAGGGGCUUGCGCCUUAGUGGCUUCGCAAGUUCGAAUCUUGCCCCCCGCA
This 84-nucleotide transfer RNA is filed under the name Candidatus Iainarchaeum sp. Its description in RNAcentral is "tRNA-Leu". It matches the Rfam family "tRNA". Rfam says of the family: Transfer RNA (tRNA) molecules are approximately 80 nucleotides in length. Their secondary structure includes four short double-helical elements and three loops (D, anti-codon, and T loops). The record is from RNAcentral. Lineage: Archaea; Nanobdellati; Candidatus Iainarchaeota; Candidatus Iainarchaeia; Candidatus Iainarchaeales; Candidatus Iainarchaeaceae.